Molecule: small RNA, 703 nt
Filed under: Pan troglodytes (chimpanzee)
Lineage: Eukaryota; Metazoa; Chordata; Mammalia; Primates; Hominidae
Description: retained intron
Source: RNAcentral
UCAAGCUGCUGUCACUAGGAAGAGGCUCUAGUGAUGAACAGGCAACAAAUGUACCCUACACUUGGGCACCGCUUUUCUGUUUUCUGUCUCCCCUUUCGUAGUCUCUGGGUCUCUCCAGUGCAUCAGCCAGCAUGUUCGGGAAGGAUGGCAGUGAGCUAAUACUGCAUUUUGUGACCCAGUGCAAUACCCGGCUCACACGUGUGCUGGAAGAGGAGCAGAAGCUGGUACAGUUGGGCCAGGCGGAGAAGAGGAAGACAGACCAGUUCCUGAGGGAUGCAGUGGAAACCAGACUGAGAAUGCUGAUCCCAUACAUUGAGCACUGGCCCCGGGUACCGAGUCCAUAUCCAGGCCCCAGAGCAACAAUAAUCCUAAUAGUUAUCAUUCUCAGCACCUUUCACUCAGAUGACUUUGUACACUGUUCAGAACUUAGCUUCUCAAUCUCUAUAAACCCGACAAUACUUAGUACACUUGGUAGAGCUGGGUUUCAAACUUGGGCAUACCAAAGAGAGUGACUGAGCCAUCUGUGUCUCAGUUCUUGGAAAUGUGAGUGGUCCGGGUACUGGAUCCCAUCCUGGGUGGGGUUCUCCUAGUGGCCUGAGUGUGCCACCAGGUCUGCAGGGAGGAGGAAUCCAUGCAGGAGGUUGGAAGAGUCAGAAGAUUUUAUUGGCUGUCUUCACUUGAAUAACAGCCCUGUGGCAUUUUA